CCGGAGGGACCCAUUGUGGAUCUGAUGAGAAGGAAAUAUGGAGAUCAAUCUCUAGAGUUUUUGCCCGAGUGGUCAAAAGAUUUUGGGUUCCCUGCAAAUGGUUCUUUCAGUAGAAUAAAACUGAACAUGUUACGAACAGGCUUAGAGGGAAAAGAGAAGGGUAUAAAAACUCAGAGGGUGAUAAAAGGCAAAGACUUGGAGAACAUUGAGAAACAAAGUAAAUGGUUAAAAUGGUGGGAGGAUGAAUGUGAAUGUAGAGAAAGGAAACAAAUGGCUAAAGAAUUGACAUGCGCAAAAACCACAUUGGUUGAAAAACCAGAUCCAAAUGUUAUUGUUCCCUGACAAAGUGGAUAUGACUCCCAUCAACAAUACCAAGCAGGCAGCGGGUGAGUCCGUCCAUGAUUACUACCAAAGACUUCUCACAGUGUUUAAUCUUAACAGUGGCAUUCCACAACCCGCCGCGUUAGGAGACGCUCUGGGGACGUGGGAAUCACACCUGAAGAAUGCUUUCAUGAAUGGACUAUUACCCGACAUAAAAAUGAAUGUGCAGCGCUCUGUGGCUGGAAUGGAAGACUCGCGACUCGCGGAUGUAAAGAAACAUGCUGCGCAUGCGCAAUCCAUGGACAUAGAGAGAACUGACCACGAGGGGAAAAGGCGCUCACGUCAGAUUGAACUCGCCC
This is a long non-coding RNA of Gasterosteus aculeatus aculeatus (three-spined stickleback), 680 nucleotides long. The record is from Ensembl. NCBI's taxonomy places the organism in Eukaryota, Metazoa, Chordata, Actinopteri, Perciformes, Gasterosteidae.